CCUACGGGGGGCUGCAGUGGGGAAUAUUGGACAAUGGGGGCAACCCUGAUCCAGCCAUGCCGCGUGUGUGAAGAAGGCCCUCGGGUUGUAAAGCACUUUCAGUGAGGAAGAACGCCUGGUGGUUAAUACCCAUCAGGAAAGACAUCACUCACAGAAGAAGCACCGGCUAACUCCGUGCCAGCAGCCGCGGUAAUACGGAGGGUGCGAGCGUUAAUCGGAAUUACUGGGCGUAAAGCGCGCGUAGGUGGCUUGAUAAGCCGGUUGUGAAAGCCCCGGGCUCAACCUGGGAACGGCAUCCGGAACUGUCAAGCUAGAGUGCAGGAGAGGAAGGUAGAAUUCCCGGUGUAGCGGUGAAAUGCGUAGAGAUCGGGAGGAAUACCAGUGGCGAAGGCGGCCUUCUGGACUGACAAUGACACUGAGGUGCGAAAGCGUGGGUAGCAAACAGGAUUAGAUACCCUAGUAGUC
Molecule: ribosomal RNA, 465 nt
Filed under: Vreelandella stevensii
Lineage: Bacteria; Pseudomonadati; Pseudomonadota; Gammaproteobacteria; Oceanospirillales; Halomonadaceae
Description: partial 16S ribosomal RNA
Rfam family: Bacterial small subunit ribosomal RNA
Source: RNAcentral